This 394-nucleotide ribosomal RNA is filed under the name uncultured bacterium. Its description in RNAcentral is "partial 16S ribosomal RNA". It matches the Rfam family "Bacterial small subunit ribosomal RNA", at positions 338 to 729 of the family's 1533-position model. The record is from RNAcentral.
CCUACGGGUGGCAGCAGUGAGGAAUAUUGGUCAAUGGACGCAAGUCUGAACCAGCCAUGUCGCGUGCAGGAUGACUGCCCUAUGAGUUGUAAACUGCUUUUGUACGGGGGUAAACUCCGAUACGCGUACCUGUCUGAAAGUAUCUUACGAAUAAGGAUCGGCUAACUCCGUGCCAGCAGCCGCGGUAAUACGGAGGAUUCAAGCGUUAUCCGGAUUUAUUGGGUUUAAAGGGUGCGUAGGCGGUCGGUUAAGUUAGAGGUGAAAGCUCGAGGCUCAACCGCGGAAUUGCCUUUGAUACUGUCAGGCUAGAGAGCAGUAGAGGUAGGCGGAAUGUAUGGUGUAGCGGUGAAAUGCUUAGAGAUCAUGCAGAACACCGAUUGCGAAGGCAGCUUAC